CGCGUGGGAACAUACCCUUGGUACGGAAUAGCCUCUGGAAACGGAGAGUAAUACCGUAUGAGCCCUUCGGGGAAGGAUUAUCGCAAGAUGCCGCGCUAGAUAGUAGUUGGUGGGUAAGUGGCCUACCAAGCCUACGAUCUAUAGCUGGUUUUAGUAGGAUGAUCAGCAACACUGGGACGUGAGACACGGCCCAGACUCCUACGGGAGGGCAGCAGUGGGGAAGUCUUGGACAAUGGGGGCGAACCCUGAUCCAGCCAUGCCGCGUGAGUGAUGAAGGCCUUAGGGUCGUAAAGCUCUUUC
This 300-nucleotide ribosomal RNA is filed under the name uncultured Ruegeria sp. Its description in RNAcentral is "bacterial SSU rRNA". It matches the Rfam family "Bacterial small subunit ribosomal RNA", at positions 114 to 437 of the family's 1533-position model. The record is from RNAcentral. Lineage: Bacteria; Pseudomonadati; Pseudomonadota; Alphaproteobacteria; Rhodobacterales; Roseobacteraceae.